Molecule: long non-coding RNA, 591 nt
Organism: Canis lupus familiaris (dog)
Lineage: Eukaryota; Metazoa; Chordata; Mammalia; Carnivora; Canidae
Exons: 5
Source: RefSeq, a predicted model, not a curated record
GCUCAGUCAAUCUCCAUGUAAAACCAAAGGUACUUGCAUUCAGGAAAAAGCAGAGUCCCGGUGCCUGUGUCCAUCAGGAUGGGCUGGUGCUUACUGUGACGUGCCCAAUGUGUCCUGUGAGGUGGCGGCCUUCCACUAGGGGUGUCCACUGACCACCUGUGCCAGCACUCCGGCAUCUGCAUCAAUGCUGGCAACUCGCAUCACUGCCAGUGCCCCCUGGGCUACACUGGGAGCUACUGUGAGGAGCAGCUCGAUGAGUGCUCAUCCAACCCCUGCUAGCAUGGGGCCACCUGCAGGGACUUCAUUGGCGGGUACAGAUGUGAGUGUGUCCCAGGAUAUCAGGGCGUCAAUUGCGAGUAUGAAGUAGAUGAGUGUCAGAAUCAGCCAUGCCAGAACGGAGGCACCUGUGUCGACCUCGUGAACCAUUUCAAGUGCUCCUGUCCACCAGGCACUCGAGGCCUGCUUUGUGAAGAGAACAUUGAUGACUGUGCUGGAGGUCUCAAUAGUGGGGUGCUCCUCAUGGCCUCUGGCUGCCUGACAUCAACAGAAGCCUGUGCUGAAACUCCAAACCAGAAAGAAUCCCAUUUUUAC